RNAcentral lists this ribosomal RNA (496 nucleotides) under uncultured bacterium. RNAcentral's name for it is "bacterial SSU rRNA". It matches the Rfam family "Bacterial small subunit ribosomal RNA", at positions 28 to 514 of the family's 1533-position model. The record is from RNAcentral.
GAUGAACGCUAGCUACAGGCUUAACACAUGCAAGUCGAGGGGAAACGAUAGAGAAAGCUUGCUUUUCUAGGCGUCGACCGGCGCACGGGUGAGUAACGCGUAUCCAACCUGCCCAUCACUUGGGGAUAACCUUGUGAAAGUAAGACUAAUACCCAAUGACGUCUCUAGAAGACAUCUGAAAGAGAUUAAAGAUUUAUCGGUGAUGGAUGGGGAUGCGUCUGAUUAGCUUGUUGGCGGGGUAACGGCCCACCAAGGCGACGAUCAGUAGGGGUUCUGAGAGGAAGGUCCCCCACAUUGGAACUGAGACACGGUCCAAACUCCUACGGGAGGCAGCAGUGAGGAAUAUUGGUCAAUGGGCGAGAGCCUGAACCAGCCAAGUAGCGUGCAGGAAGACGGCCCUAUGGGUUGUAAACUGCUUUAUAAGGGAAUAAAGUGAGUCUCGUGAGACUUUUUGCAUGUACCUUAUGAAUAAGACCGGCUAAUUCCGUGCCAGCAG